AGAGUUUGAUCCUGGCUCAGGAUGAACGCUGGCGGCGUGCUUAACACAUGCAAGUCGAGCGAGAAACUACAUGCAGACACUUCGGUAGAAGCGAGUAGCGGAAAGCGGCGGACGGGUGAGUAACGCGUAGGCAACCUGCCCUUCACAGAGGUAUAGCCUCGGGAAACCGGGAUUAAAACCACAUAAAAUCAUAGGUUCGCAUGAACCAAAGGUCAAAGAUUUAUCGGUGAAGGAUGGGUCUGCGUCUGAUUAGCUGGUUGGUAGGGUAAAAGCCUACCAAGGCGACGAUCAGUAGCCGACCUGAGAGGGUGAUCGGCCACAUUGGAACUGAGACACGGUCCAAACUCCUACGGGAGGCAGCAGUGGGGGAUAUUGCACAAUGGGGGAAACCCUGAUGCAGCAACGCCGCGUGAGGUAUGAAGGCCUUUGGGUUGUAAGCCUCUGACCUAGGGGAAGAAAAAAAUGACGGUACCCGAGGAGGAAGCCCCGGCUAACUACGUGCCAGCAGCCGCGGU
Molecule: ribosomal RNA, 515 nt
Filed under: Eubacterium sp. oral clone BP1-57
Lineage: Bacteria; Bacillati; Bacillota; Clostridia; Eubacteriales; Eubacteriaceae
Description: bacterial SSU rRNA
Rfam family: Bacterial small subunit ribosomal RNA
Source: RNAcentral